Pogoniulus pusillus (Red-fronted tinkerbird) is the source of this 1058-nucleotide long non-coding RNA. RefSeq lists it as uncharacterized. The transcript is spliced from 5 exons. Lineage: Eukaryota; Metazoa; Chordata; Aves; Piciformes; Lybiidae. The record is from RefSeq and is a predicted model, not a curated record.
GGCAUUAACUUAAUUUUGGUUUAAGACCCAUUUCCAGAACUGAGAAUCUAGAAAAAGUUACUGGAAUUUUCUGUGUUCAGUAUUUGAGGGAAACAUAUACAUUCACUGGAGCUGCCUCUGCCACUUUAAAUCCCACCUGACUGCUCCAAAAGGAGUCAAGCAGGUGCAGCCCAUCAGCAAGAGUCAGGGGCUGGGGUAGCUUUGGCAGGCAUGUAGCAGUGGCUUUUGUGUAUGAUCAGUCAGUGUGUUAUAUGUCACACUGGACAUAUAACAGGACAGGAAAGAGGGGGUUUUAUGCAGCUCUGCUGUCACUCAUCUUCAUCAGAGUAACCAAGAUGGACUCAGAAGAUGCAUGAGGUACAAAUGCUAUCAAGUCUGUAUUCCUGCUUGCUACCUGGGUAACUGCUGCCUGAAGAGUGACAGUUCUUGUGCAUUUAUAUGCUGGGAACAGACUCCUGGGGAAUGGACAGGCUGCAUUUUUCAGAAAGACUAUUGAAAUGGACUGGUGAAUCAUCAUGUCAUGCUGUCAUUUGCAGAAGUGUAACAGAUGGAGGAGCAGCCAUCAAUGAUCCAUCAGAAACCAUCUCAGGGUUGAAAAUGGUGUCAUGGGCCACUCUCAGAGAGUGAGCUGUGCUGGAAAACGGCUUCUGGAGACAGAAGGUUCUGCAGGAGCCCUGGAUCACAAUAUUUGUGGAAAUCCUUUAGGAUUUUACCAGGGAAGGACCCACAUGAUCAAUGGAGUAAAGCUUUGGGAGCUGUUUGACAACUUAACAUUGGCUGUAUGCAGCUUUACUGACACCUUUCACAUACCAAACCCCAGAGGCCCGAAUGGUGGAAUUUUCCUUGGAUCUCAGCAGGGGACAAGUGUUUAAUUUUUCCACUGGAUUUUGAGUUUGCCAUUCAGACCUCCUAAAAAGACACAAAUCAGAUGCCACACAACCGUAUUCCACUGGCAGGAAAUAAUGACAUCCUGGCAGCACUGUGAAGUUCCAGCACACAAAUUUGCAUCAGAGCUUCCCUGACAUAAAGAGAAAUGAAGUUUCCAAAGCUGUGCUUAC